UUAUGAGAAAUCUUUAAAGUCUGAAAAUUUCUUUUUGAAUGUUAAUCUUAGUCCGAAGCGAUUCUGACGUGCAAAUCGAUUGUCUGACUUUGGUACAGCGGCGAAAGACUGAUCGAACAAUCUAGUAGCUGAUUCCCUCUGAAGUUUCCCUCAGGAUAGAUGGAGUACGUUAUGAAACUGCUACAUUCGGUAAAGCGAAUGAUUAAAGGAAUUGUGGGACGAAACGUCUUCAACCGUGGAUGACUCGCUUGCUCGAAUGAAGCGUGGACAUUGAAUAUGUGCUCUACAUAGGCCAUUUUGGUAAGCAGAACUGGGGUGCUGUGGACGGACA
RNAcentral lists this non-coding RNA (331 nucleotides) under Onchocerca ochengi. Its description in RNAcentral is "Eukaryotic large subunit ribosomal RNA". It matches the Rfam family "Eukaryotic large subunit ribosomal RNA", at positions 852 to 1170 of the family's 3401-position model. Lineage: Eukaryota; Metazoa; Nematoda; Chromadorea; Rhabditida; Onchocercidae. The record is from Rfam by way of RNAcentral.